Molecule: ribosomal RNA, 387 nt
Filed under: uncultured eukaryote
Lineage: Eukaryota
Description: partial 18S ribosomal RNA
Rfam family: Eukaryotic small subunit ribosomal RNA
Source: RNAcentral
CAAUAGUGUAUAUUAACGUUGUUGCAGUUAAAAGGCUCGUAGUCGAAUUUGUGGUAGAGUCGGCUUGACCCACUGCCUUGCGCAGAGGUUGUCGUAGUUGACAUACCAUCUUUCCGGAGGGCGCCUCUUGCUCUUCAUUGAGUAGCUGCGUAAUCCGGAUCAUUUACUGUGAGUAAAUCAAAGUGUUUAAGGCAGGCAUGAUCGCUUGAAUGUAUUAGCAUGGAAUAAUAAGAUAGGACUUCAGUUCUAUUUUGUUGGCUUCUAGGAUUGAAGUAAUGAUUGAAAGGGAUAGUUGGGGGUGCUAGUAUUUAACGGUAAGCGGUGAAAUGCUCGGACCCGUUAAAGACUAACUUAUGCGAAAGCAUUCACCAAGGAUAUUUUCUUUGA